ACUCCUACGGGAGGCAGCAGUGGGGAAUAUUGCACAAUGGGGGAAACCCUGAUGCAGCGACGCAGCGUGCGGGAUGACGGCCUUCGGGUUGUAAACCGCUUUCAGCAGGGAAGAAGCGCAAGUGACGGUACCUGCAGAAGAAGUACCGGCUAACUACGUGCCAGCAGCCGCGGUAAUACGUAGGGUACGAGCGUUGUCCGGAAUUAUUGGGCGUAAAGAGCUCGUAGGUGGUUGGUCACGUCUGCUGUGGAAACGCAACGCUUAACGUUGCGCGUGCAGUGGGUACGGGGCUGACUAGAGUGCAGUAGGGGAGUCUGGAAUUCCUGGUGUAGCGGUGAAAUGCGCAGAUAUCAGGAGGAACACCGGUGGCGAAGGCGGGACUCUGGGCUGUAACUGACACUGAGGAGCGAAAGCAUGGGGAGCGAACAGGAUUAGAUACCCUGGUAGCACGAUGU
Molecule: ribosomal RNA, 455 nt
Filed under: uncultured bacterium
Lineage: Bacteria
Description: bacterial SSU rRNA
Rfam family: Bacterial small subunit ribosomal RNA
Source: RNAcentral